Molecule: long non-coding RNA, 2539 nt
Filed under: Homo sapiens (human)
Lineage: Eukaryota; Metazoa; Chordata; Mammalia; Primates; Hominidae
Description: HOX transcript antisense RNA, transcript variant 7 (HOTAIR)
Source: RNAcentral
AGUUCUCAGGCGAGAGCCGCGGCUGACAGGGUCUGGGACAGAAGGAAAGCCCUCCAGAGACACCGCCUGUUCACAAGAGUUUGAAGAAGUCCACUCUUUUCCUGGCCAGAGCUGGGUGUCAAGACUACCUUUCUGGAGUCCUUAGAGAGACUCCCGGAAGAGUAUCUGAAGUUUCCCAAAGCCUCCAGGCCCUGCCUUCUGCCUGCACAUUCUGCCCUGAUUUCCGGAACCUGGAAGCCUAGGCAGGCAGUGGGGAACUCUGACUCGCCUGUGCUCUGGAGCUUGAUCCGAAAGCUUCCACAGUGAGGACUGCUCCGUGGGGGUAAGAGAGCACCAGGCACUGAGGCCUGGGAGUUCCACAGACCAACACCCCUGCUCCUGGCGGCUCCCACCCGGGACUUAGACCCUCAGGUCCCUAAUAUCCCGGAGGUGCUCUCAAUCAGAAAGGUCCUGCUCCGCUUCGCAGUGGAAUGGAACGGAUUUAGAAGCCUGCAGUAGGGGAGUGGGGAGUGGAGAGAGGGAGCCCAGAGUUACAGACGGCGGCGAGAGGAAGGAGGGGCGUCUUUAUUUUUUUAAGGCCCCAAAGAGUCUGAUGUUUACAAGACCAGAAAUGCCACGGCCGCGUCCUGGCAGAGAAAAGGCUGAAAUGGAGGACCGGCGCCUUCCUUAUAAGUAUGCACAUUGGCGAGAGAAGUGCUGCAACCUAAACCAGCAAUUACACCCAAGCUCGUUGGGGCCUAAGCCAGUACCGACCUGGUAGAAAAAGCAACCACGAAGCUAGAGAGAGAGCCAGAGGAGGGAAGAGAGCGCCAGACGAAGGUGAAAGCGAACCACGCAGAGAAAUGCAGGCAAGGGAGCAAGGCGGCAGUUCCCGGAACAAACGUGGCAGAGGGCAAGACGGGCACUCACAGACAGAGGUUUAUGUAUUUUUAUUUUUUAAAAUCUGAUUUGGUGUUCCAUGAGGAAAAGGGAAAAUCUAGGGAACGGGAGUACAGAGAGAAUAAUCCGGGUCCUAGCUCGCCACAUGAACGCCCAGAGAACGCUGGAAAAACCUGAGCGGGUGCCGGGGCAGCACCCGGCUCGGGUCAGCCACUGCCCCACACCGGGCCCACCAAGCCCCGCCCCUCGCGGCCACCGGGGCUUCCUUGCUCUUCUUAUCAUCUCCAUCUUUAUGAUGAGGCUUGUUAACAAGACCAGAGAGCUGGCCAAGCACCUCUAUCUCAGCCGCGCCCGCUCAGCCGAGCAGCGGUCGGUGGGGGGACUGGGAGGCGCUAAUUAAUUGAUUCCUUUGGACUGUAAAAUAUGGCGGCGUCUACACGGAACCCAUGGACUCAUAAACAAUAUAUCUGUUGGGCGUGAGUGCACUGUCUCUCAAAUAAUUUUUCCAUAGGCAAAUGUCAGAGGGUUCUGGAUUUUUAGUUGCUAAGGAAAGAUCCAAAUGGGACCAAUUUUAGGAGGCCCAAACAGAGUCCGUUCAGUGUCAGAAAAUGCUUCCCCAAAGGGGUUGGGAGUGUGUUUUGUUGGAAAAAAGCUUGGGUUAUAGGAAAGCCUUUCCCUGCUACUUGUGUAGACCCAGCCCAAUUUAAGAAUUACAAGGAAGCGAAGGGGUUGUGUAGGCCGGAAGCCUCUCUGUCCCGGCUGGAUGCAGGGGACUUGAGCUGCUCCGGAAUUUGAGAGGAACAUAGAAGCAAAGGUCCAGCCUUUGCUUCGUGCUGAUUCCUAGACUUAAGAUUCAAAAACAAAUUUUUAAAAGUGAAACCAGCCCUAGCCUUUGGAAGCUCUUGAAGGUUCAGCACCCACCCAGGAAUCCACCUGCCUGUUACACGCCUCUCCAAGACACAGUGGCACCGCUUUUCUAACUGGCAGCACAGAGCAACUCUAUAAUAUGCUUAUAUUAGGUCUAGAAGAAUGCAUCUUGAGACACAUGGGUAACCUAAUUAUAUAAUGCUUGUUCCAUACAGGAGUGAUUAUGCAGUGGGACCCUGCUGCAAACGGGACUUUGCACUCUAAAUAUAGACCCCAGCUUGGGACAAAAGUUGCAGUAGAAAAAUAGACAUAGGAGAACACUUAAAUAAGUGAUGCAUGUAGACACAGAAGGGGUAUUUAAAAGACAGAAAUAAUAGAAGUACAGAAGAACAGAAAAAAAAUCAGCAGAUGGAGAUUACCAUUCCCAAUGCCUGAACUUCCUCCUGCUAUUAAGAUUGCUAGAGAAUUGUGUCUUAAACAGUUCAUGAACCCAGAAGAAUGCAAUUUCAAUGUAUUUAGUACACACACAGUAUGUAUAUAAACACAACUCACAGAAUAUAUUUUCCAUACAUUGGGUAGGUAUGCACUUUGUGUAUAUAUAAUAAUGUAUUUUCCAUGCAGUUUUAAAAUGUAGAUAUAUUAAUAUCUGGAUGCAUUUUCUGUGCACUGGUUUUAUAUGCCUUAUGGAGUAUAUACUCACAUGUAGCUAAAUAGACUCAGGACUGCACAUUCCUUGUGUAGGUUGUGUGUGUGUGGUGGUUUUAUGCAUAAAUAAAGUUUUACAUGUGGUGAA